RNAcentral lists this ribosomal RNA (494 nucleotides) under uncultured bacterium. RNAcentral describes it as "partial 16S ribosomal RNA". It matches the Rfam family "Bacterial small subunit ribosomal RNA", at positions 28 to 507 of the family's 1533-position model. The record is from RNAcentral.
GACGAACGCUGGCGGCGCGCUUAACACAUGCAAGUCGAACGGAAAGGCCUGCUUUCCCUUGUGGAUUGCGGGUACUCGAGUGGCGAACGGGUGAGUAACACGUGAGUGAUCUGCCCCCAACUUGGGUAUAAGCCUGGGAAACUGGGUCUAAUUCCCGAUAGGACUGCAGGGUGGUGCCUGUGGUGGAAAACGAUUUUCUAGUGGUUGGGGAUGAGCUCGCGGCCUAUCAGCUUGUUGGUGGGGUAAUGGCCUACCAAGGCGGCGACGGGUAGCCGGCCUGAGAGGGUGGACGGCCACAUUGGAACUGUGAUACGGCCCAGACUCCUACGGGAGGCAGCAGUGGGGAAUAUUGCACAAUGGGCGGAAGCCUGAUGCAGCGACGCCGCGUGGGGGAUGACGGCCUUCGGGUUGUAAACUCCUUUCGACCGCGAGGAAGCCACCUGGUUGGAAGGGUGGUGACGGUAGUGGUAGAAGAAGCACCGGCUAACUACGUG